This is a long non-coding RNA of Pyrus x bretschneideri (Chinese white pear), 720 nucleotides long. RefSeq lists it as uncharacterized. The transcript is spliced from 3 exons. Lineage: Eukaryota; Viridiplantae; Streptophyta; Magnoliopsida; Rosales; Rosaceae. The record is from RefSeq and is a predicted model, not a curated record.
GUAAAUGUAGAGCAACCACACCACUAGCACACUCCCCAUACCAGCGAACUAUGUCAUCAUCUAAAUACCAUACUGCUACCCAUUUUUCUCUCAUUCAGUUAUGUUUCUUUCCCUUUCUCGACUUUUUCUUUUUUCUAUGCACCAGAAAACACUAACAGUGGUUUCACUGUCGUUUCCGGACGGCAGACCACCAACUUGCACCACCUCGUCCCUUUCCUUGAUUUAAACCAGAAAAGCAUGAACGAGGCUUCAAUCUCGAAGCCAUACUGUGGAAACUUAGCCCAAUUUCGAGAUUCAAUUUUUCUGCAAACUUCUCAAUUUUUCAACCAAGAGAUACCUCAGGGAAACACUCCCUAGUUUUCCGAUAGUGGACCCGCAAAUUUCAGGAGAUUUUCAGGCCAUUUCUCAGCCAUGGCUUGGCUAAUAAAGCAACUGGCUACCCCACGAUCAAAUCGAGUUAACCCAACCCGCAACCCAGAACCAGUUCCAAACCUGGAUCUGCAAACCAACCCAAAACUGAAUCCGACCCAGAUUCGACCCGGACCUAUUUCUGAAUCCAACUAGAAUAUUCUUUGGAAUAUUCCGUUAACUUCUAAUUAACUUUAAUAGAAUAUUUCGUCCGAUGAUGGAAUAUUCUGUUAAAGUUGAUUGUUGAUCGUUAAUUGACUUUUGUUGAUUUUUUCCAAAUUUCUCUUGGACCCCUUGUAAACACGAAAAAUU